Molecule: ribosomal RNA, 472 nt
Filed under: uncultured soil bacterium
Lineage: Bacteria
Description: bacterial SSU rRNA
Rfam family: Bacterial small subunit ribosomal RNA
Source: RNAcentral
AGGACGAACGCUGGCGGCGUGCUUAACACAUGCAAGUCGAGCGGUAAGGCCUUUCGGGGUACACGAGCGGCGAACGGGUGAGUAACACGUGGGUGAUCUGCCCUGCACUUCGGGAUAAGCCUGGGAAACUGGGUCUAAUACCGGAUAUGACUUCAGGUUGCAUGACUUGGGGUGGAAAGAUUUAUCGGUGCAGGAUGGGCCCGCGGCCUAUCAGCUUGUUGGUGGGGUAAUGGCCUACCAAGGCGACGACGGGUAGCCGACCUGAGAGGGUGACCGGCCACACUGGGACUGAGACACGGCCCAGACUCCUACGGGAGGCAGCAGUGGGGAAUAUUGCACAAUGGGCGAAAGCCUGAUGCAGCGACGCCGCGUGAGGAUGACGGCUUCGGGUUGCAAACGUCUUUCAGCAGGACGAAGCGCAAGUGACGGUACCUGCAGAAGAAGCACCGGCUAACUACGUGCCAGCAGCCGC